RNAcentral lists this unclassified non-coding RNA (302 nucleotides) under uncultured fungus. RNAcentral's name for it is "sequence contains ITS1". The record is from RNAcentral. Lineage: Eukaryota; Fungi.
UUAACUAUUAUAUAGUACUCAGACAUCACUAAAAUCAAGAGUUGGGUCCUCUGGCGGGCACGUCUCAGCCGGAGCCGAGAGCGCUAAAGCGCGGCCCGCCAAAGCAACAAAGGUAGAAUUAACAUAGGGUUGGGGUUAUGCCACGGCUCGUGCAAGGAAGAUUUCUCUCCCCGCACAAGGGUGUCAAAGACGAAUCUCUAACACCAUACGUACCGGUGAGGGUACGCACCGCGACACUUUGCCAGUUGCCUUACGGCUUCUAGCACUUAUUAAUGAUCCUUCCGCAGGUUCACCUACGGAAA